Molecule: long non-coding RNA, 1032 nt
Filed under: Zalophus californianus (California sea lion)
Lineage: Eukaryota; Metazoa; Chordata; Mammalia; Carnivora; Otariidae
Description: lncRNA (ENSZCAG00015012429.1)
Source: RNAcentral
CCCACUAGGUAGUAUUAUUAUCUCUAUCUGAUAGGGGGGCAACCUGAGGUCCAGAGAGGUUAAGAAACUUGUCCAGGGUCACAUGGCUAAUAAAUGGCAGAGUCAGGGGACAAAGCAGAGCUCUCCUGCUCCCAAACUUCUUGUGGAACCACUGCACCCAUCCUGUCAUAAUGACCCCCGUACUCUCUGUCCAGCCUCCUGCCCACCAGGACUCCCCCAUCCUCGCUUUGUGGGGACUCACACACUUGCUGGCUGACCCCCAAGGCUGGUCUGGCACAGUCUUGGCCUGGAAGCAGGGUGAGCCAGGCAGGAGGCUUCUCCUCCUCCCGGGACCCCGGCUUCUCCUCUCCGAAGAUCCCCCUGGUGCCUCAGGCUGUGUAGACACCUGCUGAUUUGAUGAGACUUUUGCCGAGACAGCACCGAGGGCCGUGGCCGCCUCCGACAACCCAGCCGCCGACACGCGGAAUGUCCCUCCCUUUUGGAAAUCGUGGUAGGGAGCUGGCUAGUCCCUGUGUCAGCGGAGCUGCGGACGACUUUCCAGAUUUUUCCAGCAACUCCUUGCUACAGAUCGUCCUGUGCGCAGAGGCUGUGUGUACGUGUGUGCAAGUGCGCCUGCUCAGGAGGAGAAGAUUGAAUCGGACAGCUUUGAGACAGAGCUGGAAUAGUAGGCACCCAGGCAGCCUGUGGACACACAUUAUGGAUACCCACUCUGGGCCUGGCCUCUCCCUUGCCUGGCUCAGACUCCACUCCAGACCAACACACAAACAGGAAGAAGAGACAGCAUAAUCAGGGCCUGAAAAAUGGUACAAACCAGGACGCACAAGUAAUUAAGAAAAGGAAGUGACACGAAAACAACAGCAUGAAAGUACUAGAAAAAAAAAACAGGUAGGAAUAAUUUUAUAUAAUCUGACAUUUUAAUAGAUAUGAUAACUUAAAAUAUCAAUACAUUCAAGGAUCCUUUAAAAAUGGUGAAAAAACUCAUUGGUAAGCCAAAAAUGAACUGUGUGAAAGUCCUUGCAACUUACCUUACUG